UACGGAGGGUGCAAGCGUUAUCCGGAUUCACUGGGUUUAAAGGGUGCGUAGGUGGGUCUGUAAGUCAGUGGUGAAAUCUCCGGGCUUAACCUGGAAACUGCCAUUGAUACUAUAGAUCUUGAAUUUUCUGGAGGUAAGCGGAAUAUGUCAUGUAGCGGUGAAAUGCUUAGAUAUGACAUAGAACACCAAUUGCGAAGGCAGCUUGCUACAGGAACAUUGACACUGAGGCACGAAAGCGUGGGGAUCAAACAGG
RNAcentral lists this ribosomal RNA (253 nucleotides) under uncultured bacterium. Its description in RNAcentral is "partial 16S ribosomal RNA". It matches the Rfam family "Bacterial small subunit ribosomal RNA", at positions 524 to 776 of the family's 1533-position model. The record is from RNAcentral.